GCAAGUCGAGGGGUAACAUGAGAGCUUGCUCUUGAUGACGACCGGCGCACGGGUGAGUAACGCGUACACAAUCUGCCUAAGAGGAGAAUAGCCCUGGGAAACUGGGAUUAAUGCACCAUAGUAUCUUAAUACCGCAUGGUAUAAAGAUUAAAGUUCCGAUGCUUAAGGAUGAGUGUGCGUCCCAUUAGCUUGUUAGUAAGGUAACGGCUUACCAAGGCAACGAUGGGUAGGGGGCGUGAGAGCGUGAUC
RNAcentral lists this ribosomal RNA (249 nucleotides) under uncultured bacterium. Its description in RNAcentral is "partial 16S ribosomal RNA". It matches the Rfam family "Bacterial small subunit ribosomal RNA", at positions 57 to 305 of the family's 1533-position model. The record is from RNAcentral.